UACGCGGUUGUCGGGGCCUGGAUAAGUG
Molecule: small RNA, 28 nt
Filed under: Bombyx mori (domestic silkworm)
Lineage: Eukaryota; Metazoa; Arthropoda; Insecta; Lepidoptera; Bombycidae
Description: ovarian small RNA-6122
Source: RNAcentral